RNAcentral lists this small nuclear RNA (107 nucleotides) under Meriones unguiculatus (Mongolian gerbil). Lineage: Eukaryota; Metazoa; Chordata; Mammalia; Rodentia; Muridae. The record is from RNAcentral.
GUGCUCACUUGGGCAGCACAUAUACUAAAAUUGGAACGAUACAGAGAAGAUUAGCAUGACCCCUGCGCAAGGAUGACACACAAAUUUGUGAAGCGUUCCAUAUUUUU